This is a long non-coding RNA of Gallus gallus (chicken), 3781 nucleotides long. The record is from Ensembl. NCBI's taxonomy places the organism in Eukaryota, Metazoa, Chordata, Aves, Galliformes, Phasianidae.
CACACACACACACACACACACACACACACACACACACACACACGGCCUGCACAGACCCGGCUUCGGUGCAGAAGGGCAGUCAGCCUGGUGAGGAAAAGGCCCUCCCAAUGUCAUUGCACGGCGUGCGCCCCCUCCCCCACUGUGCCCCCAACCCCUCCCCCACUGUGCCCCCAAUCCCCCCCCCAACGACAUUAGGAUCCCCCCCCUGGGCAGUGAUUCUUAUUGCUUAUACGGAGUGCAGCCAAUGUGGGGUCGGUGUAUGGAGAGGAGGGAAACGGAGCCCUAUAAGCGGAGGGUUCUUUGGGGGGUGGGAGGCUGUGGGGGCGCUGCGACCCAAUGAUGGGGUAGGGGGGGGUUGGGAGGGGUGGGGGCUGAGGCUGGGGAUGGUGGGGUGCCAACAGUGGGGCUGCCAUGGGGUCAACACCAACACCAUUGCAGUGCCAACGGUGGGGCUGCCAUAGGGUCAACAGUGGGACCACUGUGGUGCCAACAGUGGGGCUGCCAUGGGGUCAGCAGUGGGGCUGACAUUGUGCCAACAGUGGGGCUGCCAUGGGGUCAACACCAUCACCAUUGCAGUGCCAACAGUGGGACCAACAGUGGGACCACUGUGGUGCCAACAGUGGGGCUGCCAUGGGGUCAACACUGGGGCUGACAUUGUGCCAACAGUGGGGCUGCCAUGGGGUCAACAUUGGGACCACCAUGGUGCCAAUACUGGGGCCGCCAUGGGGUCAACACCAUCACCAUUGCAGUGCCAACAGUGGGGCUGCCAUGGGGUCAACACCAUCACCAUUGCAGUGCCAACAGUGGGACCAACAGUGGGACCACUGUGGUGCCAACAGUGGGGCUGCCAUGGGGUCAACACUGGGGCUGACAUUGUGCCAACAGUGGGGCUGCCAUCGGGUCAAUAUUGGGACCACUGUGGUGCCAACAGUGGGGCUGCCAUGGGGUCAACACCAUCACCAUUGCAGUGCCAACAGUGGGGCUGCCAUGGGGUCAACACUGGGGCUGACAUUGUGCCAACAGUGGGGCUGCCAUGGGGUCAACACCAUCACCAUUGCAGUGCCAACAGUGGGGCCAACAGUGGGACCACUGUGGUGCCAACAGUGGGGCUGCCAUGGGGUCAACACUGGGGCUGACAUUGUGCCAACAGUGGGGCUGCCAUGGGGUCAACAUUGGGACCACCAUGGUGCCAAUACUGGGGCCGCCAUGGGGUCAACACCAUCACCAUUGCAGUGCCAACAGUGGGACCAACAGUGGGACCACUGUGGUGCCAACAGUGGGGCUGCCAUGGGGUCAACACUGGGGCUGACAUUGUGCCAACAGUGGGGCUGCCAUGGGGUCAGCAGUGGGGCUGCCACUGUGCCAAGAGUGGGGCAGCAGUGGUUCGGGUCCUGGCAGUGGUUCGGGUCCUGGCAGGGAGCAGAGCUCCCGGGUUGUGAGAAGUGUGGGUGUGUCAGUGAGCAACGACGCGCAUUACCCACUAUGCACACAGACACAGACAUGUGUGCAUAUCCACAUACAUGUAUGUAUGCACGCACGCACACGUGUGCAUAUCUACAUCCAUACGUGUGUGCGCACGGCGGUGCUGCCCAAACCCGGAUCAGAUAAGACAGAAACAGAUGGAAAAGCAGCUCUGGAGUGGAGGGAUUCAGAGCCCUCCAUUUAUACCCACUGUGUGCGCAGCAUUUGGGCGCUCCCCACCCCAUAUAUGAACCCCGGGGCCGGGGGGACACAGCUCUGCCACCCCCAUUCCUGCACUGCACGGAGCUCCCAGCACAGCCCUCAGCCAGCACACAGCUGCGUCCCAGUAUGGAUCCAUCCCGUCCCAGUAUGGCUCCAUCACAUCCCAGUAUGGCUCCAUCCCGUCCCUGUAUGGAUCCGUCCCAUCCCAGUAUGGCUCCAUCCCAUCCCAGUAUGGCUCCAUCACAUCCCAGUAUGGCUCCGUCCCAUCCCAGUAUGGAUCCAUCCCAUCCCAGUAGGGAUCCAUCCCAUCCCAGUAUGGCUCCAUCCCAUCCCAGUAUAGAUCCAUCACAUCCCAGUAUGGCUCCGUCCCAUCCCAGUAUGGCUCCAUCACAUCCCGGUAUGGCUCUGUCCCAUCCCAGUAUGGCUCCAUCCUGUCCCAGUAUGGAUCCAUCCCAUCCCAGUAGGGAUCCAUCCCAGCCCAGUAUGGCUCCAUCACAUCCUGGUAUGGCUCCAUCCCGUCCCAGUAUGGAUCCAUCACAUCCCCAUAUGGAUCCAUCCCAGUAUGGCUCCAUCCCGUCCCAGUAGGGAUCCAUCCCAUCCCAGUAUGUCUCCAUCCCAUCCCAGUAUGGCUCCAUCCCGUCCCAGUAUGGCUUCAUCCUGUCCCAGUAUGGAUCCAUCCCGUCUCAGUAUGGAUCCCUCCCAUCCCAGUAUGGCUCUGUCCCAUCCCAGAAUGGAUCCAUCACAUCCCAGUAUGGAUCCAUCCCGUCCCAGUAUGGCUCCAUCCCAUCCCAGUAUGGAUCCAUCACAUCCCAGUAUGGAUCCAUCACAUCCCAGUAUGGCUCCAUCCCAUCCCAGUAUGGAUCCAUCACAUCCCAGUAUGUCUCCGUCCCGUCCCAGUAUGGAUCCAUCCCAUCCCAGUAUGGAUCCAUCCCAUCCCUCUCAUCCCAGUAUGGCUCUGUCCCAUCCCUGUAUGGAUCCAUCACAUCCCAGUAUGGCUCCGUCCCAUCCCAGUAUGGCUCCAUCACAUCCCAGUAUGGAUCUAUCCCGUCCCAGUAUGGCUCCAUCCCAUCCCAGUAUAGAUCCAUCCCAUCCCAGUAUGGCUCCGUCCCAUCCCAGUAUGGAUCCAUCACAUCCCAGUAUGGCUCCAUCCCAUCCCAGUAUGGCUCCAUCACAUCCCAGCACAGCAGAGCUCCCACUACAGAGCUCCUCUCCAUGCCAUUUCCAUCCCACCAUGGAGCUCCAUCCCAUCCCAUUUCUGUCCCAUCUCAGCACAGCUCCAUCCCAUCAUGAGUGCAGUCCCAACACAGAUACCCACCCCAGCACAGCCCCUCUCCAUCCCAGUUCCAUCCCAGUACGGAGCUCCAUCCCAGUACAGCAUCAGCCCACUGCAGAGCUCCUCUCCAUCCCACUUCCAUCCCAUCGUGGCGCUCCAUCCCAUCACAGCCCCAUCACAGCAGGCUCUGAUGCCAAACUCCAGCAGCUUCCCAGCAUUAUUUUCCCUCUGCUCUAAUUAAUAAUAAUAAUAACAAUAACAAUAAUAGCAACAAUAACAACAAUAAUCUUUUCAUUACAAAAAUCAGGAUUCGGAUGAGGACUACUUAUAUUUGAGGGGGGGGAAUAUUUACAGGCUGUAUGGACAAAUGAGGUUUUUAAAUUACAAAUUAAAUAGCAAUUAAAUAUUUCCUAUUAAACACUGCUUCUGUUCGAGCACACGACGAGGCAUCACUGGAUUCUCCGGGGAGGGGCAAUGGGGGCAUGGGGAUGGGGUGGGCACCCCGAGAUGGGGGAUGGGGUGAGGACCUGGGGGACAUGGGGGUGGGGUGGGCACCCCAAGAUGGGGGAUGAUGUGAGCAUUUGGGGGACACAGGGGUGAUGUGAGCACUCCAAGAUGGGGGAUGGUUUGAGGGCCUUGGGGACAUGGGGAUGGUGUGAGCACCCCAAGAUAGGGGAUGGUGUGAGCAUUCGGGGACAUGGGGGUGAUGUGAGCACCCCAAGAUCAUGGGGAUGGUGUGAGCACCCCAAGAAUGGUGAUGGUAUGAGCACCCCAAGGACAUGGGGAUGAUGUGAGCACCCCAAGAUGGGCGAUGGUGUGAGGACC